RNAcentral lists this ribosomal RNA (484 nucleotides) under uncultured bacterium. Its description in RNAcentral is "partial 16S ribosomal RNA". It matches the Rfam family "Bacterial small subunit ribosomal RNA", at positions 28 to 507 of the family's 1533-position model. The record is from RNAcentral.
AUUGAACGCUGGCGGCAUGCUUUACACAUGCAAGUCGAACGGCAGCGCGGGCUUCGGCCUGGCGGCGAGUGGCGAACGGGUGAGUAAUGCAUCGGAACGUGCCCAGUAGUGGGGGAUAGCCCGGCGAAAGCCGGAUUAAUACCGCAUACGACCUGAGGGUGAAAGCGGGGGACCGAAAGGCCUCGCGCUAUUGGAGCGGCCGAUGUCGGAUUAGCUAGUUGGUGGGGUAAAGGCUUACCAAGGCGACGAUCCGUAGCUGGUCUGAGAGGACGACCAGCCACACUGGGACUGAGACACGGCCCAGACUCCUACGGGAGGCAGCAGCGGGGAAUUUUGGACAAUGGGGGCAAUCCUGAUCCAGCCAUGCCGCGUGCGGGAAGAAGGCCUUCGGGUUGUAAACCGCUUUUGUUCGGGAAGAAAUCCUCUGGGCUAAUACCCCGGGGGGAUGACGGUACCGGAAGAAUAAGCACCGGCUAACUACGUG